This 237-nucleotide long non-coding RNA is filed under the name Panax ginseng (ginseng). Its description in RNAcentral is "long non-coding RNA (PGIN_LNC013180)". Lineage: Eukaryota; Viridiplantae; Streptophyta; Magnoliopsida; Apiales; Araliaceae. The record is from RNAcentral.
UUAAGAAUGAAUUAUUGUCCAGUUAAUAAAAGGACUAUCCCUUGAUGUCAUGUCAAGCGUCGGACUACUUUUUAUGUAAAGAAAGUUCUAACAUAAUAACAUGUCACACUUUUAAAUUACAUCUUCAAAGCUAAAACUCCCUUUUCGAUCUCUCCUCAAUUCAAAUAUAAAAUUGAUGUUUAAUCACCAUAGAAAUCAUCAAUACAAUGGUCGUGUAAGUUACCUUUUCCAGUAAAG